UGGGGAAUCUUGCACAAUGGGGGAAACCCUGAUGCAACGACGCCGCGUGAACGAUGAAGCCCUUCGGGGUGUAAAGUUCUUUCGACAGGAACGAUAAUGACGGUACCUGGAGAAGAAGCUGCGGCUAACUACGUGCCAGCAGCCGCGGUAAUACGUAGGCAGCGAGCGUUGUUCGGAGUUACUGGGCGUAAAGAGUGCGUAGGCGGCGAGCCAAGUUUGGUGUGAAAUCUCCCGGCUUAACCGGGAGGGUGCGCCGAAAACUGGUAGGCUGGAGUAUGGGAGAGGAAAGCGGAAUUCCUGGUGUAGCGGUGAAAUGCGUAGAUAUCAGGAGGAACACCUGCGGUGUAGACAGCUUUCUGGACCAAAACUGACGCUGAGGCACGAAAGCGUGGGUAGCAAACA
RNAcentral lists this ribosomal RNA (402 nucleotides) under uncultured bacterium. Its description in RNAcentral is "bacterial SSU rRNA". It matches the Rfam family "Bacterial small subunit ribosomal RNA", at positions 355 to 774 of the family's 1533-position model. The record is from RNAcentral.